GGGGAAUUUUCCGCAAUGGGUGAAAGCCUGACGGAGCAACGCCGCGUGCGGGAGGACGGCCUGUGGGUUGUAAACCGCUUUUCUCAGGGAAGAAGAUCUGACGGUACCUGAGGAAUCAGCAUCGGCUAACUCCGUGCCAGCAGCCGCGGUAAUACGGAGGAUGCAAGCGUUAUCCGGAAUUAUUGGGCGUAAAGCGUCCGCAGGCGGUUCAUCAAGUCUGCUGUUAAAGGCCGAGGCUCAACCUCGGUUAAGCAGUGGAAACUGGUGAACUAGAGUGCGAUAGGGGUAGAGGGAAUUCCCAGUGUAGCGGUGAAAUGCGUAGAUAUUGGGAAGAACACCAGUGGCGAAGGCGCUCUACUGGGUCGCAACUGACGCUGAGGGACGAAAGCUAGGGGAGCGAAAAAGAUUAGAUACCCCUGUAGUC
RNAcentral lists this ribosomal RNA (424 nucleotides) under uncultured Pseudanabaenaceae cyanobacterium. RNAcentral describes it as "bacterial SSU rRNA". It matches the Rfam family "Bacterial small subunit ribosomal RNA", at positions 356 to 795 of the family's 1533-position model. Lineage: Bacteria; Bacillati; Cyanobacteriota; Cyanophyceae; Pseudanabaenales; Pseudanabaenaceae. The record is from RNAcentral.